Molecule: ribosomal RNA, 1017 nt
Filed under: uncultured bacterium
Lineage: Bacteria
Description: bacterial SSU rRNA
Rfam family: Bacterial small subunit ribosomal RNA
Source: RNAcentral
GAGUUUGAUCAUGGCUCAGAAUGAACGUUGGCGGCGUGGAUUAGGCAUGCAAGUCGAGCGAGAAAUUCUUUUUUGAUUUCUUCGGAAUGAUUUAUUGAAUGGACAGCGGCGCAAGGGAGAGUAACGCGUGGAAGUUUACCUUGAGGAUCGGGAUAGCUGCGGGAAACUGCAGGUAAUACCGAAUAAUGUCCCCGGACCAAACUUUUUGGCCUCAAGAGAACUCCGCGUCCUACUAGCUUGUUGGUGGUGUAACGGACCACCAAGGCGAUGAUGGGUAGCGGGUGUGAGAGCAUGACCCGCCUCACUGGGACUGAGACACUGCCCAGACACCUACGGGUGGCUGCAGUCGAGAAUCUUCGGCAAUGGACGCAAGUCUGACCGAGCGACGCCGCGUGCGGGAUGAAGGCCUUCGGGUUGUAAACCGCUGUCAGAGGGGAGGAAAGCUUCGGCUUGACUGAACCCCAGAGGAAGCACGGGCUAAGUUCGUGCCAGCAGCCGCGGUAACACGAACCGUGCGAACGUUAUUCGGAAUCACUGGGCUUAAAGGGUGCGUAGGCGGCUUUGCAAGUGGGAUGUGAAAUCCCUCAGCUCAACUGAGGAACUGCGUUCCAAACUGCAAAGCUAGAGGGAGACAGAGGUAAGCGGAACUGAUGGUGGAGCGGUGAAAUGCGUUGAUAUCAUCAGGAACACCAGUGGCGAAGGCGGCUUACUGGGUCUCUUCUGACGCUGAGGCACGAAAGCUAGGGUAGCGAACGGGAUUAGAUACCCCGGUAGUCCUAGCUGUAAACGAUGAGUACUGGGAUCGUGGGGCCUUCCACAGCCUCUCGGUCGUAGCGAAAGUGUUAAGUACUCCGCCUGGGGGAGUAUGGUCGCAAGGCUGAACUCAAGGGAAUUGACGGGGCUCACACAGCGGUGGAGGAUGUGGCUUAAUUUCGAGGAUGCGCGAGAACCUUAUCCUGNCUUGACAUGUUUAGGACCUCGGUGAAAGUCGAGGGGUGCCCUUCGGGGGAGCCUUUA